Molecule: long non-coding RNA, 507 nt
Organism: Vigna umbellata (rice bean)
Lineage: Eukaryota; Viridiplantae; Streptophyta; Magnoliopsida; Fabales; Fabaceae
Source: RefSeq, a predicted model, not a curated record
CAUAUUUUUAUGGUGCAGUGUGUUCAUCCCACGUGGCAUCUCUUCGCAAUCAAAUUUGUUUGCGGUCAAGCUGGAGAGGCAAAGGUGGUCAAGUUGACCCAGAGACAUUCGCAACGCUUAUCAUGUGAAUCCAACACAAGAAAACAGUUUGAUGUGGGCAGGUUAUUUCACCACACACGAGGCAUGUCUCUCAUGAGUCCAACAUCAAUACAUGUAUACGUAUGAUCAGAAAUCUAGAGUUGGUAUGUUUAUUGUUGUAUUGUUUCAUUUGAACAAUUAUUGAGAUAUCAAUGAAUUUUAAUUGUAUGAAUGUUCUUUGGUAUUUUAGUUUGUCCUUUUGUCUUUGUGUGUGUAUUAUUUUCUUUUUGACUGUCUUUGGUGGGAGUAGAAAAAAAUGUUUAUGAUAAAUAAGUGCUAGUUAGUGGUGGAGCUUAAGCUUAGAGUAUGAAGCUUUGUUGUUUUUUUUUCUGUAAAGACUACAUAUUACAGGUUUUAUUUGUAUAGUAU